Molecule: non-coding RNA, 222 nt
Organism: Vicia faba (fava bean)
Lineage: Eukaryota; Viridiplantae; Streptophyta; Magnoliopsida; Fabales; Fabaceae
Source: the annotation of a GenBank genome assembly
AUGCCAGGAUUACCCCAAUUCACUAAUGACUCCAACUCUAUCUCUGCCAAUGGAUUCUGGUCUAAGAAUCGGGAUGAUGUUGGAUACAAUCAGCUCCACAAGUUUUGGAGUGAGCUGUCACCACAAGCGCGGCAGGAACUCUUGAGAAUAGACAAGCAAACCCUUUUUGAGCAAGCUCGGAAAAACAUGUACUGCUCCUCGAUGCAAUGGUUUGCUUCUUGA